GCGGCCGUGACCCUGCUGGAGUGCGGGGGGGACCUCCAGCCCCCCGGGGGGUCCCUGCGCCUCCUCUGCCACGGGGCCGGGUUCGAUUUUGGGGAUUUUGGGAUGGGCUGGAUGCGCCAGAGAGCCGGGCAGGGUUUGGAGUUUGUGGCGAGUGUCACCGGUGACGGCGCCACUCCCAGAUACGCGCCGUCGGUCAAGGGCCGGUUCACGAUCUCCAGGGACAACGGGCAGAGCUCGGUGACGCUGACCAUGAACAACCUCAAGGACGAGGAUUCCGCCGUUUAUUUCUGUGUCAAACUUUGCAAUGGUUACGCUGGCAAUGCUAUUGACGCUGGUUUUGGCGUGACUUCUGUGCCCACCAUCUUUGCCUCAACUGUGGACUUUCCCCCAGUUUUGCCCAUUUCACCCAAAUCUCCCCCAGCUCCCCGGGCCCUGAUUGGAGGAGGCCUGACCUGGAGGCCAGGGGUGAAGAUUGUGAACCGGCCCCUGACUGAAUCCGCGUAG
Molecule: non-coding RNA, 504 nt
Organism: Melospiza melodia melodia
Lineage: Eukaryota; Metazoa; Chordata; Aves; Passeriformes; Passerellidae
Source: the annotation of a RefSeq genome assembly